AUUGAACGCUGGCGGCAUGCCUUACACAUGCAAGUCGAACGGCAGCGCGGACUUCGGUCUGGCGGCGAGUGGCGAACGGGUGAGUAAUACAUCGGAACGUACCCUGUUGUGGGGGAUAACUAGUCGAAAGAUUAGCUAAUACUGCAUACGACCUGAGGGUGAAAGUGGGGGACCGCAAGGCCUCACGCAGCAGGAGCGGCCGAUGUCUGAUUAGCUAGUUGGUGGGGUAAAGGCCCACCAAGGCGACGAUCAGUAGCUGGUCUGAGAGGACGAUCAGCCACACUGGGACUGAGACACGGCCCAGACUCCUACGGGAGGCAGCAGUGGGGAAUUUUGGACAAUGGGGGCAACCCUGAUCCAGCAAUGCCGCGUGUGUGAAGAAGGCCUUCGGGUUGUAAAGCACUUUUGUCCGGAAAGAAAUCGCGCUGGUUAAUACCUGGCGUGGAUGACGGUACCGGAAGAAUAAGCACCGGCUAACUACGUG
RNAcentral lists this ribosomal RNA (484 nucleotides) under uncultured bacterium. RNAcentral describes it as "partial 16S ribosomal RNA". It matches the Rfam family "Bacterial small subunit ribosomal RNA", at positions 30 to 507 of the family's 1533-position model. The record is from RNAcentral.